GCUUUUGGUAAAUUCCUCUGCUUCUGGAAACCGUUACCUGGAUUUAUUUCCCGCUCUCCGUGAACGAGGCUGCAAGUUACAGACGAGCUGGGAGUCAGAAGAUCUGCUCUACUGGAGGGUUUUCCUUAAAAAAAAAAAAAAAGUAAAAGAAAAACAUUUCAUAUAACAGCUUUUCAGUUCAGCUUUGUGUUUCUACAUGCAGUUAUACCUGACGUGAGUAACAGCAAACUGUCUCACUUGCCUGCUUUCCAAUGAAACACUUCUGUGCUCGUUUCCUGUCUCGCUCGGCUCGCUGUUCUAAGGCAUUGUGGGAAGUGUAGAGUCCAUCCAUGAGCCUCAUCAUCACGUCUGACAUCCUGGAGCUAACCGCUACGACAUCCGGUCGCCGCUCCGCAUCUGGGGCCAAACACCUGCACAGCUAUUUGUCAGGCUCAUACUCGGCCUCCACGAUCUAUCAGCACAAAAAAGGAGGAGAAUUUAUCAUGGGAUUGAUGGUGUUUACAGUCAGGGGAAACCUGGAGGCUUUGGUGUGUUUCUGUCACCUUGCUGGCCAGAGAGAGAAUGUUGCUGCUGUAGAACGGAGGCUUCAGAGUGGCCAUUUGGUAAAGGAUGCAGCCCAAAGCCCAGAUGUCGGCUUUUUCUCCGUACGGCUCAUUUUUUACCACCUCUGGGCUGUUCACAGGCGUCAUCAUCAUCAUCAAACCACUAGUCAGUUGGAAAAAGCUAAUAACAUCCUCAAACAGGCUCUCAUUAAUAUACAUGUAUAUAGAUAUUCAUUUUGUAUUUUCAUAUUUGAAAAAUGUUGGCGUUAAAGAACUAUGGUACCCUGCACAGGUCAAGCUUUUGUCACACCCGUUUGACCUGUAUGGGUGCUGCAGGUUUUUGGGUUGUCCGGGUGGAGCGUCAUAGAGAGGAGUGGUUGUGUCUACAGGGGAGCGCAGGUGUGUUUUGCAGUUCCCUUGAGGCUCGCAUGGUCACCUCAUGAAAAUGGAACGGACCAUUGAUCUUACACGGGGUAAGUGUAUCGGGAUGUAAUCGGAAGGAUAAUGGAAGUUGCACGCACUCAUAAUGUGUGGUUGAUGCUGUUUUCUGGUGCCCUUAUGCCACACUCUAGUCGUCAGUAAGGUGCACACACCGACUGCACACAAAUGGGUUGUGCACGUGAUACGCCUGUAGGAUGUCCUCACAAAUGCCAUCGAUUGUCUAACUUCCUCAUUUUUAACAGUCAGGCCGCACGUAGUGAGCGCACUUCUUACGCGAACAGCCUUAACAGGCUCCCCGUGCAGUCUGCAGGAUUUGGGAGGUUGAAAAAUGGAAAAUCCGUACGACACGCCUGCGCCUCACCUACUUCACCCUCACUCUCCCUUACAUGCACAUAGUAAAAAUGUGCAGGAAGGUUUUCUCUCUACGGGUUCACUGAAGCGAUCCAUGGCCUUGUUAUUUUUCGGGUUAGCAGUGGCUCAGACGAUUGAGUUGAUUGUCAGUAGUUAUGCUGAUGAUACUCUGCUGUAGUUUGGUAUUAAAACUGGUAAAUGCCGUAUACUUAUACAGCACUUUUCUACCUUCUAAAUGGGCCCAAAGUGCUUGACAGUCCCAGUCCCAUUCACCCACUCACCCAUUCACACACUGAUGCUGCCGAAGAAUGGCGCCAACCAGGUUGUGCAGCUUUCCUCACAAUGUUCCCGUACACUCCACACAUGGAUGACCUAAUUACAGUUCCUAAAACGCUGCCUCUUAUUCUAAUAGCAGAUUGUUUUCUCCUACUAAAUGUACAAAACCAAACUUUGGACUGAACAGAAUUAGACCAUAAUUAGACCAUUUCCACCUGAAUUUUUAAUAAUUUAAUUUGUUUUCUUUGCUGUCUCUUUAGAUGUUUGCUGUCUGUUAAAACUGCAAGUAAACUGAAUUUAAUUUUUUCACCAACGCACUUGGUGCC
This is a long non-coding RNA of Oryzias sinensis (Chinese medaka), 1936 nucleotides long. The record is from Ensembl. NCBI's taxonomy places the organism in Eukaryota, Metazoa, Chordata, Actinopteri, Beloniformes, Adrianichthyidae.